RNA transcript from Macadamia integrifolia, 2223 nucleotides. It is a transcript of the gene named pentatricopeptide repeat-containing protein At1g55890, mitochondrial-like, with no coding region annotated. The record is from RefSeq and is a predicted model, not a curated record. The transcript is spliced from 4 exons. NCBI's taxonomy places the organism in Eukaryota, Viridiplantae, Streptophyta, Magnoliopsida, Proteales, Proteaceae.
GUGUCCAACCUCCGUUGGUUCGUUGAGAAACCCUAAGCGCUGUUACCUGAAGAGGCUAAAUUCUGAAAAACAAAAACCCUAAGCCCCGUAAACUGGAAUGGUUGAGAAGCCCUAAACAACGUAACCCUUCCCCUGUCUCCAUUUCCAUUAUCUGUCUACAUCUUUCUGGCGAGCCAGGAUGUCUUCUCUCUCUCGUCAUCUCUACCGCAGCUUCUGCACUGCAACCCCUGCAACCCCUGAAACCAGCGUGGCCUGGCCACCUCUUAACACCAUUAUUAGUGACCUUUUCAACGAACGCAACUUCGAAACCCUCGUCAACAAAUUCAAGAAGUCCUCCGAGUACCACCGGUUCCGUUGCAGGCACCGUAUAUACGAGGUUACAGUUCGUCGCCUCGCCUUAGCUAAACGAUUCUCUUGCAUUGAAGAAAUCCUAGAGGACCAGAAGAAGUAUAAUGAUAUCUGCAGUGAAGGCUUCGCGAUCCGUCUCAUCAGUCUUUAUGGCAAGUCGGGUAUGUUCAAUCAAGCCUCACAAACUUUCAACCAAUUGCCUGAACUAAAGUGCCCGCGCACUGUGAAGUCCUUUAAUGCUCUCCUCUCCGCUUGCGUCGAUACCAAGAAUUAUGAGAAGGCCGAACCCCUUUUUCGCGAGCUUCCUUCUAGCUUGUCAAUCGAACCGAAUCUUUACUCGUACAAUAUCAUGAUUCGGGUUUACUGUGAGAUGGGUUCACUCGAUUCUGCCAUUUCAGUUCUAGAUGAGAUGGAGAAGAGUGGGGUCAGCCCGAGCUUGAUUACUUUUAAUUUUCUUCUGAAUGGGUUUUAUGAGAAAAAUCGAUUUUCCGAUGGUGAGGCGAUUUGGGCUAGAAUGGAGAACAACAAUUUAGUUCCUGACAUUAGAAGCUUUAAUGCCAAGCUGCGAGGCCUAGUUCUUGGGGGCAAAACAUUGGAGGUGGUUGAAUUAGUUAAAGAACUAGAGACAAAGGGACCGAAACCUGAUAUUCAUAGUUUCAAUGCUCUGAUUAAAGGACUUUGCAAUGAUGGAGAUUUAGAGGUAGCCAUGAGGAUUCACAAGGAACUAAACAAAAAGGGUCUCAUUCCAAAUCGAUCAACCUUUCAGACACUUAUCCCUUGCCUUUGUGAGAAGGGGAAUUUCGAUCUGGCUCUUAAGCUCUGCAAGGAGAGUUUGAAUCGUCGACACUUUCUGCAUGCGGAGUUGUUGCAAACUGUGGUUGAUGGGUUUGUCAAGAAGUCAAAGGUUGAUGGAGCGAAGAAGCUUAUGGAGCUUGCGAGAGCAAAAGGUUACAGUGAAUCUAGCUUGAAAAUGCCUUCUGAUGCGGAGUGAUUUCACAAUUUGCUUCAUGUUGAAUGUCUCCUUCAAACUGUCAAUCCAUUCAGAUGAGCUUAUCAGUGAGGGUGAAAAUGAUAGAAUGGAAAAGAAAAAGAAAGAUGAUGAUUGUGAGUAUUGGGCUGAACCUGGAUGGCCGAAGAAGCUGUUCCAAAGACAAAUCCUGGUGGAAAGUCGGCUCUGCUGAUUCCUUCUGAAUAUGAUAGAAGGCAAGAAACUGAGAGCAACAAAAGAGUGAUGAUGGUCAUUGUUGAAAUCAUCUCCAGGGUUUGCUCAAAGCAGUUUAAUUAGUCUUUCCUUCCUUACUUUGUGGACACGCUACAAAGAUCCUUGAACAGUUUAAAAGGAGCUGAAGGAGAGAGCUUAUUCAGGGGAGAAGCGUAUCGUAGCGUUGGAUAUUCAGAAAAUGGAAAUCAGAAUAUUAUGGCCGUGGGGUUGUAUGGGUCUGGGGUUCUUUCCCUCUUGUUUCUAUCAGUAGAAGCCGUCGCUGUUCUUCAAGUCAAGAAAACACUUCUGCAGGCCGUCUUAUGUGAUAGUGCCGAAAAACAAAUCCUAUCUUGUAUUGAUAUUAAGCUGGCAUUAGGGAUUUGUCUUCGGACCAAGCUAUGGAGGUUAUUCUUCCCACGUCAGCAACAGUCACUUGUAAGUUACACACGUCAGCAUUAGUUUUCCGUUUUGUAGGAAUCGUUAUCUACACUUUUCUAGAAAAAGAUAGAAGUGAGUUGUCACGUUGUUAUGAUAAGACUUUGAGUUACAGUUAAGCUUCGUUUGUAUGAGAAUUAGAGAUGUAAACUAAUCAAAUACGAAUUGAAUAUGAAUCAGAUGUGAUUUGAUUCAGAUACCUUUAAAAUGAAUCAAAUUCGCAUCCUCGACUUAUGUAA